CUUCACCGUCGGCGUCAUGUAUCGGCCGCCGUCGAACACCCGCUCUGGCGGUGGGGGUUUCCGCCACCCAUCCUACCCCCCUCAGAAUCUUAACUUCGCCUUUCCCGGCAAUCUUCAAGGCCAUGUAAACCCUCCAGAACCCUAGCUUCCUCCAACCUCCCAUUAUGCGCUACCUCCUGAACCGAUUCUUUCCUCAGCCGAAUCCUUCCCCCAAGCCCUUCUUGACGGGGUUGAUGCCGCCGCCACUAAGGCUCACCGGGACCUCGUCGCCGCCGGUCAGAACGUCUCGUCGUGGAAAGUGUCGCAGGCCUCUCUCCUCGCUCUAAAGAUCGAAUCUUGGAGCGCCUUAGGGUUUCAAAUUCAGGAUGUUCCAUCCCUCCACAGCCUAAUCGUCACACAAGCAAAGGUUCUCGAUAUGAUGGUGAAUUUUUAUGCUACAACAGUGGAGCAAAAGAAAAAGGUUGAAGAGAAUCUUGUUGUCACACCCCUGGUGUUCUCACAGAAUAUUGCUGUAAAUUUGCCCUCAGCAAUGUUAUUUCUCUCUUAUAUGAAAAUUUUCAGCAACAGUCAUAAACUGAAGGUAGAUAGACACCUAUAGAGAUAUCUUCCAAUUUGUUUAUGAGCAUUCAUUUAUGGGAUGUACAUACUGUUUUCUAUAUUAAGUUCAUUUGGAUGUUUGAA
Molecule: long non-coding RNA, 681 nt
Organism: Musa acuminata AAA Group (dessert banana)
Lineage: Eukaryota; Viridiplantae; Streptophyta; Magnoliopsida; Zingiberales; Musaceae
Exons: 2
Source: RefSeq, a predicted model, not a curated record